This 799-nucleotide ribosomal RNA is filed under the name uncultured bacterium. RNAcentral describes it as "bacterial SSU rRNA". It matches the Rfam family "Bacterial small subunit ribosomal RNA", at positions 65 to 862 of the family's 1533-position model. The record is from RNAcentral.
AACGGCAGCGCGGGGCAACCUGGCGGCGAGUGGCGAACGGGUGAGUAAUAUAUCGGAACGUACCCUGGAGUGGGGGAUAACGUAGCGAAAGUUACGCUAAUACCGCAUACGAUCUAAGGAUGAAAGUGGGGGAUCGCAAGACCUCAUGCUCCUGGAGCGGCCGAUAUCUGAUUAGCUAGUUGGCGGGGUAAAAGCCCACCAAGGCAACGAUCAGUAGCUGGUCUGAGAGGACGACCAGCCACACUGGAACUGAGACACGGUCCAGACUCCUACGGGAGGCAGCAGUGGGGAAUUUUGGACAAUGGGCGCAAGCCUGAUCCAGCAAUGCCGCGUGAGUGAAGAAGGCCUUCGGGUUGUAAAGCUCUUUUGUCAGGGAAGAAACGGUGGGGGCUAAUAUCCUCCGCUAAUGACGGUACCUGAAGAAUAAGCACCGGCUAACUACGUGCCAGCAGCCGCGGUAAUACGUAGGGUGCAAGCGUUAAUCGGAAUUACUGGGCGUAAAGCGUGCGCAGGCGGUUUUGUAAGUCUGUCGUGAAAUCCCCGGGCUCAACCUGGGAAUUGCGAUGGAGACUGCAAGGCUAGAGUUUGGCAGAGGGGGGUAGAAUUCCACGUGUAGCAGUGAAAUGCGUAGAUAUGUGGAGGAACACCGAUGGCGAAGGCAGCCCCCUGGGUCAAAACUGACGCUCAUGCACGAAAGCGUGGGGAGCAAACAGGAUUAGAUACCCUGGUAGUCCACGCCCUAAACGAUGUCUACUAGUUGUCGGGUCUUAAUUGACUUGGUAACGCAGCUAACGCGUGA